GUGGCUGAAUCUACCAGGCUCGGCGAGCGGACAGAUGGGAGCAUGCACCUGAUGUAGCGGCGGACGGGUGAGUAACACGUGGGUAACCUGCCUGUAAGACUGGGAUAACUCCGGGAAACCGGGGCUAAUACCGGAUGCUUGUUUGAACCGCAUGGUUCAGACAUAAAAGGUGGCUUCGGCUACCACUUACAGAUGGACCCGCGGCGCAUUAGCUAGUUGGUGAGGUAACGGCUCACCAAGGCAACGAUGCGUAGCCGACCUGAGAGGGUGAUCGGCCACACUGGGACUGAGACACGGCCCAGACUCCUACGGGAGGCAGCAGUAGGGAAUCUUCCGCAAUGGACGAAAGUCUGACGGAGCAACGCCGCGUGAGUGAUGAAGGUUUUCGGAUCGUAAAGCUCUGUUGUUAGGGAAGAACAAGUGCCGUUCAAAUAGGGCGGCACCUUGACGGUACCUAACCAGAAAGCCACGGCUAACUACGUGCCAGCAGCCGCGGUAAUACGUAGGUGGCAAGCGUUGUCCGGAAUUAUUGGGCGUAAAGGGCUCGCAGGCGGUUUCUUAAGUCUGAUGUGAAAGCCCCCGGCUCAACCGGGGAGGGUCAUUGGAAACUGGGGAACUUGAGUGCAGAAGAGGAGAGUGGAAUUCCACGUGUAGCGGUGAAAUGCGUAGAGAUGUGGAGGAACACCAGUGGCGAAGGCGACUCUCUGGUCUGUAACUGACGCUGAGGAGCGAAAGCGUGGGGAGCGAACAGGAUUAGAUACCCUGGUAGUCCACGCCGUAAACGAUGAGUGCUAAGUGUUAGGGGGUUUCCGCCCCUUAGUGCUGCAGCUAACGCAUUAAGCACUCCGCCUGGGGGAGUACGGUCGCAAGACUGAACUCAAGGGAAUUGACGGGGGCCCGCACAAGCGUGGAGCAUGUGGUUUAAUUCGAAGCAACGCGAGACCUUUACCAGGUCUUGACAUCCUCUGACAUCCUAGAGAUAGGACGUCCCCUUUCGGGGGCAGAGUGACAGUGUGCAUGAUGUCGUCAGCUCGUGUCGUGAGAUGUUUGGGUUUAGUUCCCCGCAACGGAGCCGCAACCCUGA
Molecule: ribosomal RNA, 1084 nt
Filed under: Bacillus sp. NCCP-1234
Lineage: Bacteria; Bacillati; Bacillota; Bacilli; Caryophanales; Bacillaceae
Description: bacterial SSU rRNA
Rfam family: Bacterial small subunit ribosomal RNA
Source: RNAcentral